GAUGAACGCUAGCUACAGGCUUAACACAUGACAAGGUCGAGGGGCAGCAUGACGAUAGCUUGCUAUUGUUGAUGGCGACCGGCGCACGGGUGAGUAACGCGUAUCCAACCUUCCCGUUGCUAGGGGAUAACCUUGCGAAAGUAAGACUAAUACCCUAUGAAGUUCUUCGCAGGCAUCUAAAGAGAACGAAAGAUUUAUCGGCAACGGAUGGGGAUGCGUCUGAUUAGGUUGUUGGCGGGGUAACGGCCCACCAAGCCCACGAUCAGUAGGGGUUCUGAGAGGAAGGUCCCCCACAUUGGAACUGAGACACGGUCCAAACUCCUACGGGAGGCAGCAGUGAGGAAUAUUGGUCAAUGGACGGAAGUCUGAACCAGCCAAGUAGCGUGCAGGAAGACGGCCCUAUGGGUUGUAAACUGCUUUUAUGUGGGAAUAAAGUGAGGGACGUGUCCCUUUUGUAGGUACCACAUGAAUAAGGACCGGCUAAUUCCGUG
RNAcentral lists this ribosomal RNA (491 nucleotides) under uncultured bacterium. RNAcentral describes it as "bacterial SSU rRNA". It matches the Rfam family "Bacterial small subunit ribosomal RNA", at positions 28 to 507 of the family's 1533-position model. The record is from RNAcentral.